ACACCGUUGGUGAAACGGUAUCAUGCAACUUUGCCAUUAAAUAAUCUAGUUGCGGCAAGGGUUCGACUCCCUUACGGUGUA
Molecule: non-coding RNA, 81 nt
Organism: Cryptococcus sp. DSM 104548
Source: the annotation of a GenBank genome assembly